UACAGGGGGUGCAAACGUUGCUCGGAAUUAUUGGGCGUAAAGCGCGCGUAGGCGGCUACUUAAGUCGGAUGUGAAAGCCCCUGGCUCAACUGGGGAAGUGCACCCGAAACUGAGUAGCUUGAGUGCAAAAGAGGGCCGCGGAAUUCCCGGUGUAGAGGUGAAAUUCGUAGAUAUCGGGAGGAACACCGGUGGCGAAGGCGGCGACCUGGGUCGAGACUGACGCUAAUACGCGAAAGCGUGGGGAGCAAACAGG
This 253-nucleotide ribosomal RNA is filed under the name uncultured bacterium. RNAcentral's name for it is "partial 16S ribosomal RNA". It matches the Rfam family "Bacterial small subunit ribosomal RNA", at positions 524 to 776 of the family's 1533-position model. The record is from RNAcentral.